ACGGGAGGCAGCAGUGGGGAAUAUUGGACAAUGGGGCAACCCUGAUCCAGCGACGCCGCGUGAGUGAAGAAGUAUUUCGGUAUGUAAAGCUCUUUAAGCAGGGAAGAAAAUGACGGUACCUGCAGAAUAAGCCCCGGCUAACUACGUGCCAGCAGCCGCGGUAAUACGUAGGGGGCAAGCGUUAUCCGGAUUUACUGGGUGUAAAGGGAGCGUCGACGGCAAAUCAAGUCUGAAGUGAAAGCCCGCGGCUCAACUGCGGAACUGCUUUGGAAACUGAUUAGCUAGAGUGUCGGAGAGGUGAGUGGAAUUCCCAGUGUAGCGGUGAAAUGCGUAGAUAUUGGGAGGAACACCGGUGGCGAAGGCGGCUCACUGGACGAUAACUGACGUUGAUGCUCGAAAGCGUGGGGAGCAAACAGGAUUAGAUACCCUGGUA
This 433-nucleotide ribosomal RNA is filed under the name uncultured Lachnospiraceae bacterium. RNAcentral describes it as "bacterial SSU rRNA". It matches the Rfam family "Bacterial small subunit ribosomal RNA", at positions 341 to 792 of the family's 1533-position model. Lineage: Bacteria; Bacillati; Bacillota; Clostridia; Lachnospirales; Lachnospiraceae. The record is from RNAcentral.